Molecule: ribosomal RNA, 551 nt
Filed under: uncultured bacterium
Lineage: Bacteria
Description: partial 16S ribosomal RNA
Rfam family: Bacterial small subunit ribosomal RNA
Source: RNAcentral
UGGGGAAUUUUGGACAAUGGGCGAAAGCCUGAUCCAGCAAUGCCGCGUGUGUGAAGAAGGCCUUCGGGUUGUAAAGCACUUUUGUCCGGAAAGAAAUCCUUGGCUCUAAUACAGUCGGGGGAUGACGGUACCGGAAGAAUAAGCACCGGCUAACUACGUGCCAGCAGCCGCGGUAAUACGUAGGGUGCAAGCGUUAAUCGGAAUUACUGGGCGUAAAGCGUGCGCAGGCGGUUUGCUAAGACCGAUGUGAAAUCCCCGGGCUUAACCUGGGAACUGCAUUGGUGACUGGCAGGCUAGAGUAUGGCAGAGGGGGGUAGAAUUCCACGUGUAGCAGUGAAAUGCGUAGAGAUGUGGAGGAAUACCGAUGGCGAAGGCAGCCCCCUGGGCCAAAUACUGACGCUCAUGCACGAAAGCGUGGGGAGCAAACAGGAUUAGAUACCCUGGUAGUCCACGCCCUAAACGAUGUCAACUAGUUGUUGGGGAUUCAUUUCCUAGUAACGUAGCUAACGCGUGAAGUUGACCGCCUGGGGAGUACGGUCGCAAGAUUAAAA